GAACGCUAGCGGCAUGCCUAACACAUGCAAGUCGAACGGCAGCACGGGAGCAAUCCUGGUGGCGAGUGGCGAACGGGUGAGUAACACGUAGGAAUCUACCUUAAUUAUAAUAGUUAGUGGGGGAUAACCCGGGGAAACUCGGGCUAAUACCGCAUAAUCUCUUCAAAGCAAAGCGGGGGAUCUUCGGACCUCGUGCUAUGAGAUGAGCCUGCGUCGGAUUAGCUAGUUGGUAGGGUAAUGGCCUACCAAGGCGACGAUCCGUAGCUGGUCUGAGAGGACGAUCAGCCACACUGGGACUGAGACACGGCC
This 309-nucleotide ribosomal RNA is filed under the name uncultured Coxiella sp. Its description in RNAcentral is "bacterial SSU rRNA". It matches the Rfam family "Bacterial small subunit ribosomal RNA", at positions 31 to 331 of the family's 1533-position model. The record is from RNAcentral. Lineage: Bacteria; Pseudomonadati; Pseudomonadota; Gammaproteobacteria; Legionellales; Coxiellaceae.